RNAcentral lists this transfer RNA (73 nucleotides) under Sus scrofa (pig). It matches the Rfam family "tRNA". From Rfam's summary of the family: Transfer RNA (tRNA) molecules are approximately 80 nucleotides in length. Their secondary structure includes four short double-helical elements and three loops (D, anti-codon, and T loops). Further hydrogen bonds mediate the characteristic L-shaped molecular structure. tRNAs have two regions of fundamental functional importance: the anti-codon, which is responsible for specific mRNA codon recognition, and the 3' end, to which the tRNAs corresponding amino acid is attached (by aminoacyl-tRNA synthetases). tRNAs cope with the degeneracy of the genetic code in two manners: having more than one tRNA (with a specific anti-codon) for a particular amino acid; and 'wobble' base-pairing, i.e. permitting non-standard base-pairing at the 3rd anti-codon position. Lineage: Eukaryota; Metazoa; Chordata; Mammalia; Artiodactyla; Suidae. The record is from Rfam by way of RNAcentral.
UCCUUGGUGGCCUAGCAGUUAAGGAUUCAGUAUUGUCACUGCUGUGGCAUGGGUUUGAACCCUGUCCCAGGAA